UACGUAGGGUGCGAGCGUUAAUCGGAAUUACUGGGCGUAAAGCGUGCGCAGGCGGUUUUGUAAGCCAGAUGUGAAAUCCCCGGGCUUAACCUGGGAAUGGCAUUUGGGACUGCAAGGCUUGAGUGCGGCAGAGGUGACUGGAAUUCCUGGUGUAGCAGUGAAAUGCGUAGAUAUCAGGAGGAACACCGAUGGCGAAAGCAGGUACCUGGACCAUUACUGACACUCAGCUGCGAAAGCUAGGGGAGCAAACAGG
Molecule: ribosomal RNA, 253 nt
Filed under: uncultured bacterium
Lineage: Bacteria
Description: partial 16S ribosomal RNA
Rfam family: Bacterial small subunit ribosomal RNA
Source: RNAcentral